Molecule: ribosomal RNA, 547 nt
Filed under: uncultured bacterium
Lineage: Bacteria
Description: partial 16S ribosomal RNA
Rfam family: Bacterial small subunit ribosomal RNA
Source: RNAcentral
UGGGGAAUUUUGGACAAUGGGCGAAAGCCUGAUCCAGCAAUGCCGCGUGUGUGAAGAAGGCCUUCGGGUUGUAAAGCACUUUUGUCCGGAAAGAAAUCCUUGGCUCUAAUACAGUCGGGGGAUGACGGUACCGGAAGAAUAAGCACCGGCUAACUACGUGCCAGCAGCCGCGGUAAUACGUAGGGUGCAAGCGUUAAUCGGAAUUACUGGGCGUAAGCGUGCGCAGGCGGUUUGCUAAGACCGAUGUGAAAUCCCCGGGCUCAACCUGGGAACUGCAUUGGUGACUGGCAGGCUAGAGUAUGGCAGAGGGGGGUAGAAUUCCACGUGUAGCAGUGAAAUGCGUAGAGAUGUGGAGGAAUACCGAUGGCGAAGGCAGCCCCCUGGGCCAAUACUGACGCUCAUGCACGAAAGCGUGGGGAGCAAACAGGAUUAGAUACCCUGGGUAGUCCACGCCCUAAACGAUGUCAACUAGUUGUUGGGGAUUCAUUUCCUUAGUAACGUAGCUAACGCGUGAAGUUGACCGCCUGGGGAGUACGGUCGCAAGAUU